This 484-nucleotide ribosomal RNA is filed under the name uncultured bacterium. RNAcentral describes it as "partial 16S ribosomal RNA". It matches the Rfam family "Bacterial small subunit ribosomal RNA", at positions 29 to 507 of the family's 1533-position model. The record is from RNAcentral.
AUUGAACGCUGGCGGCAUGCUUUACACAUGCAAGUCGAACGGCAGCGCGGGCUUCGGCCUGGCGGCGAGUGGCGAACGGGUGAGUAAUGCAUCGGAACGUGCCCAGUAGUGGGGGAUAGCCCGGCGAAAGCCGGAUUAAUACCGCAUACGACCUGAGGGUGAAAGCGGGGGACCGAAAGGCCUCGCGCUAUUGGAGCGGCCGAUGUAGGAUUAGCUAGUUGGUGGGGUAAAGGCUUACCAAGGCGACGAUCCGUAGCUGGUCUGAGAGGACGACCAGCCACACUGGGACUGAGACACGGCCCAGACUCCUACGGGAGGCAGCAGUGGGGAAUGUUGGACAAUGGGGGCAACCCUGAUCCAGCCAUGCCGCGUGCGGGAAGAAGGCCUUCGGGUUGUAAACCGCUUUUGUUCGGGAAGAAAUCCUCUGGGCUAAUACCCCGGGGGGAUGACGGUACCGGAAGAAUAAGCACCGGCUAACUACGUG